GACGAACGCUGGCGGCGUGCUUAACACAUGCAAGUCGAACGGAAAGGCCCUGCUUUUGUGGGGUGCUCGAGUGGCGAACGGGUGAGUAACACGUGAGUAACCUGCCCUUGACUUUGGGAUAACUUCAGGAAACUGGGGCUAAUACCGGAUAGGAUCUCCUGCUGCAUGGUGGGGGUUGGAAAGUUUCGGCGGUUGGGGAUGGACUCGCGGCUUAUCAGCUUGUUGGUGGGGUAGUGGCUUACCAAGGCUUUGACGGGUAGCCGGCCUGAGAGGGUGACCGGCCACAUUGGGACUGAGAUACGGCCCAGACUCCUACGGGAGGCAGCAGUGGGGAAUAGUGCACAAUGGGCGGAAGCCUGAUGCAGCAACGCCGCGUGCGGGAUGACGGCCUUCGGGUUGUAAACCGCGUUCGCCUGUGACGAAGCGUGAGUGACGGUAAUGGGUAAAGAAGCACCGGCUAACUACGUG
RNAcentral lists this ribosomal RNA (468 nucleotides) under uncultured bacterium. Its description in RNAcentral is "partial 16S ribosomal RNA". It matches the Rfam family "Bacterial small subunit ribosomal RNA", at positions 28 to 507 of the family's 1533-position model. The record is from RNAcentral.